GUGCUCGUUUCGACAGCACAUAUACUAAAAUUGGAACAAUACGGAUAUUAGCAGGGCCCCUGCGCAAGGCUGACACCCAAAUUUGUGAGGUGUUCCAUAUUUUA
Molecule: small nuclear RNA, 104 nt
Organism: Sorex fumeus (smoky shrew)
Lineage: Eukaryota; Metazoa; Chordata; Mammalia; Eulipotyphla; Soricidae
Source: RefSeq, a predicted model, not a curated record